RNAcentral lists this ribosomal RNA (253 nucleotides) under uncultured bacterium. Its description in RNAcentral is "partial 16S ribosomal RNA". It matches the Rfam family "Bacterial small subunit ribosomal RNA", at positions 524 to 776 of the family's 1533-position model. The record is from RNAcentral.
UACGUAGGGUGCAAGCGUUGUCCGGAAUUAUUGGGCGUAAAGAGCUCGUAGGCGGUCUGUCACGUCGGCUGUGAAAACCCGGGGCUCAACCCCGGGCCUGCAGUCGAUACGGGCAGACUAGAGUGCGGUAGGGGAGACUGGAAUUCCUGGUGUAGCGGUGAAAUGCGCAGAUAUCAGGAGGAACACCGAUGGCGAAGGCAGGUCUCUGGGCCGCUACUGACGCUGAGAAGCGAAAGCAUGGGGAGCGAACAGG